Molecule: ribosomal RNA, 547 nt
Filed under: uncultured bacterium
Lineage: Bacteria
Description: bacterial SSU rRNA
Rfam family: Bacterial small subunit ribosomal RNA
Source: RNAcentral
UGGGGAAUAUUGGACAAUGGGCGAAAGCCUGAUCCAGCCAUGCCGCGUGUGUGAAGAAGGCCUUUUGGUUGUAAAGCACUUUAAGUGGGGAGGAAAAGCUUAUGGUUAAUACCCAUAAGCCCUGACGUUACCCACAGAAUAAGCACCGGCUAACUCUGUGCCAGCAGCCGCGGUAAUACAGAGGGUGCAAGCGUUAAUCGGAAUUACUGGGCGUAAAGCGCGCGUAGGUGGUUAUUUAAGUCAGAUGUGAAAGCCCCGGGCUUAACCUGGGAACUGCAUCUGAUACUGGAUAACUAGAGUAGGUGAGAGGGGAGUAGAAUUCCAGGUGUAGCGGUGAAAUGCGUAGAGAUCUGGAGGAAUACCGAUGGCGAAGGCAGCUCCCUGGCAUCAUACUGACACUGAGGUGCGAAAGCGUGGGUAGCAAACAGGAUUAGAUACCCUGGUAGUCCACGCCGUAAACGCUGUCGAUUUGGGGGUUGGGGUUUAACUCUGGCGCCCGUAGCUAACGUGAUAAAUCGACCGCCUGGGGAGUACGGCCGCAAGGUUA